This is a long non-coding RNA of Raphanus sativus (radish), 1564 nucleotides long. RefSeq lists it as uncharacterized. Lineage: Eukaryota; Viridiplantae; Streptophyta; Magnoliopsida; Brassicales; Brassicaceae. The record is from RefSeq and is a predicted model, not a curated record. The transcript has 8 exons.
UCUCUCGUAACAUCUCCGUCUCAUUUUCCCAAUUCACAUCAACCCUAAUUCGCCUGGAUCUCUUUUUCCCUCAAAAUAUUUAUGUUUCCUAAUUCAUAUUCGAAGAAAUCUAAACCAAAAACACACUCAUCUUCUUCCGUUAAACCUCUUUCUCUUCUCCCUCUCUCUCCUGCCAUGAAAAUCGAAAUCACAAUCUCUGAUUACCUAAAGAGAUUGCGUUCUGGGGAGUGGGAGGCGCGGGUUAGAAACCAAGCUCUGGACUUCUAAAGGUUUGUGCUCAUUACAGUUUUGGAACACUGUCCACAAGCACGACCACAAGCGCCAUCACCGAUAUUGUCGUCUCAGUCUGCUCCUGCUCUCCACACCGUACCUGCAACUCAGUUCGCCAUCCUUAGUUCACCGCUGUGAAGCAGCCAUAAUCAAGCUCUAAGCCAUCAGCAAGUACCAUCCACAUCGUCUCAUGUGUCUCUUUCUCUGCUCUCACCGCGGCGUUGUGUCCAUGCUCAAGAUCGUUGUGGUAGCCUCUUCUCCUCUUCAGUUGUACAAGGAGAGCUCGAGCAACCAUAUUCAGCAACCAUAUUCGAUUCUAUUCCUAUUUGCAGCGGCUGAUGUAUUCAUGAAGAAGAACAAGAAGAUGACUGCUGGUGUACUCGGUGAUGCUACAGCCGCUUGGGUUCUCUUUGAGUUGUUGGAGUACCACCUUCUCACUCACUUUGUCAAGUUGUGAUUAUGUGCUUGAUGUACUGUUUCUCAGGUCUAAUAUGCCACCAUGUUCAUCAACAAAAGUCCAUCCUAAUGAUCUUUGAUGCUGGCUUGUGGGUUCUAUGGGUUUUGGGUGGCUGGUUUAACUUCUUGACAUUGGCGUACAUAGGAUCAUUGUUUUAGGAUGACUCGCGAUGUUGCAUCACGGUUAGGCUAUAUAUAUCAAGCCUGCUCUGAUUGAGUCAUCAUUUUUCCGAGCAGGGAAGUGUACUUUCUUUUGUAGCCUUCUAGAGUUAAUGAGAGUGAUAGAGAUAUGCUUGCUUACACAGACCUUUAUGCUUUUGAAUGCUUAAUGCAUUGGUCACCUUUUUCGUAAGGAGAGAACGGGAAAUUAAAUGUCUGGUAGCGAUCCAAACUCUGCUAUCUAUGUAACUGAUACUGCAAAAGACAUUAAAAACAAGAUAGACAGAUAUGCGUUCAGUGGUGGGCAAGACUCCAUUGAAAAGCACAGAGAAAUCGGAGCAAGACUGGAGUUUGGAACUUAAUCACAUGUCGAUAUACCAGUCAAGUAUCUUAGUUUCUUCUUAGAAGAUGAUGCUGAACUUGAACACAUAAAGAAGGAAUAUGGAGACGGGUGAAUGCUAAUGGGAGAAGUAAAGAAGAGACUCAUUGAAGUUUUGUCAGAAAUGGUGGAGAGACACUGCAUGGCUCAAGCUGCUGUUACUGAUGGGAUGGUGGAUGCGUUCAUGGCCGUGAGACCUCUCCCAAACAUGUUCGAGUAGCUUGAUGAAAACCCUCUUUUUGGCUGCACCUUUAGAUGACAUGACUUUGAAAUGUUUUCUGUUUUUAUUUGAUAGAUAUU